RNAcentral lists this transfer RNA (73 nucleotides) under Trachymyrmex cornetzi. It matches the Rfam family "tRNA". Rfam says of the family: Transfer RNA (tRNA) molecules are approximately 80 nucleotides in length. The record is from Rfam by way of RNAcentral. Lineage: Eukaryota; Metazoa; Arthropoda; Insecta; Hymenoptera; Formicidae.
GCCUCGGUAGUCUAAAGGCUUAGGACGCUCGCACGAUAUGCAAGAGAUCCGGGUUCGACUCCCGGCCGAGGUA